Molecule: long non-coding RNA, 883 nt
Organism: Acanthaster planci (crown-of-thorns starfish)
Lineage: Eukaryota; Metazoa; Echinodermata; Asteroidea; Valvatida; Acanthasteridae
Source: RefSeq, a predicted model, not a curated record
AAUUCUCAAAUUGAAGUACAAAAUUCGAUCUACAAAACGACUUACGCUUGGAGCUACGGAACACUGCUCUGGAGAUUUUCUCAAAAAAUUCUUUUUGGAGCACUUUAAGAGGCCAGUAACGGUGAUGAGGCCAACAAAGGUGAUGGCUACAUCAAAUAAGAAUUAAAUUUUCAUUAUCUAUACCCAUGACGUGUUGUACUCACGAUAAUUGGUGAUUAUGAUGUAGCUUGAUGUUUCCAGUGAUGUGUUUAGAGACUGCCGCCAGCAAAGCUUAGACCGGGGAAUCCAUUUAAUACCAGCUGGUCACUUGCAAUCAACGUGGAAUAAUUAAUGACACACUGAAUUCUAUAAAACACCCACACUCCUCUGGGAAUAAUCACUGAUUCGAUUACUUGUCUGGCGAGCAUUUUAGCAGAAGUCCUAACAACUGAAGUGAUCAACAAAAAUUGUCGUCCAAGACAGGCUCGCUGCAACUUCUCCGUCGUAAACUUUGCAAGCAUCCCAAAGAGACAUUAUGACAUCCAAGUACCGCCUAAUCCUCGCCUCGGUACCUGCCGUUGUUUUCGUAAUCGCCACUCUGAGUUUGUCGAUGGUACAAGCCGAUUCGAGCAGUAAGCACUGCGGGUCAGCUUUCCCCCAGUUUGUAUGGACGGCUUGCUCAAUGGCUAAGAGAUCCAACAGAUCCCCACGCUCGCUGGAUGACUUGCUGGAAACGUUUAAAUCAGCUAGACACCUCGAUAUCAGUUACAGGACACCCAUCCGUCUGAGCAAGCGCCAGGAUUACGAUGGAAUGGCCGAUUACUGUUGUAUCAUUGGAUGCUCCACCAAUGAACUUAUCGCCUCAGGAAUUUGCUAAUUUCACGGGAAAAGUUGGAACCAGCGC